AUCUACAGCCAUGCCACCCUGAACAUGCCCGUUCUUGUCUGAUCUUGGAAGCUAAGCAGGGUCAGGCCUGGUACUUGGAUGGGAGACCACCUAGGAAGACCAGGUGCUGUAGGUG
RNAcentral lists this ribosomal RNA (115 nucleotides) under Pteropus alecto (black flying fox). The record is from RNAcentral. Lineage: Eukaryota; Metazoa; Chordata; Mammalia; Chiroptera; Pteropodidae.